RNAcentral lists this ribosomal RNA (472 nucleotides) under uncultured bacterium. Its description in RNAcentral is "bacterial SSU rRNA". It matches the Rfam family "Bacterial small subunit ribosomal RNA", at positions 329 to 793 of the family's 1533-position model. The record is from RNAcentral.
CUACGCACUCCUACGGGAGGCAGCAGUGGGGAAUAUUGCACAAUGGGCGCAAGCCUGAUGCAGCCAUGCCGCGUGUGUGAAGAAGGCCUUCGGGUUGUAAAGCACUUUCAGUCGUGAGGAAGGUGGUAGUGUUAAUAGCACUAUCAUUUGACGUUAGCGACAGAAGAAGCACCGGCUAACUCCGUGCCAGCAGCCGCGGUAAUACGGAGGGUGCGAGCGUUAAUCGGAAUUACUGGGCGUAAAGCGCAUGCAGGUGGUUUGUUAAGUCAGAUGUGAAAGCCCCGGGGCUCAACCUCGGAAUAGCAUUUGAAACUGGCAGACUAGAGUACUGUAGAGGGGGUAGAAUUUCAGGUGUAGCGGUGAAAUGCGUAGAGAUCUGAAGGAAUACCGGUGGCGAAGGCGGCCCCCUGGACAGAUACUGACACUCAGAUGCGAAAGCGUGGGGAGCAAACAGGAUUAGAUACCCUGGUAG